UACGGGGGGAGCAAGCGUUGUUCGGAUUUACUGGGCGUAAAGGGCGCGUAGGCGGUCGUGACAGGUCACUUGUGAAAUCUCCGGGCUUAACUCGGAACGGUCAAGUGAUACUGUCGGACUAGAGUACAGAAGGGGCAACUGGAAUUCUCGGUGUAGCGGUGAAAUGCGUAGAUAUCGGAAGGAACACCAGUGGCGAAAGCGGCUUCCUGGUCCAGCACCGACGUUCAGGCACGAAAGCGUGGGGAGCAAACAGG
RNAcentral lists this ribosomal RNA (254 nucleotides) under uncultured bacterium. RNAcentral's name for it is "partial 16S ribosomal RNA". It matches the Rfam family "Bacterial small subunit ribosomal RNA", at positions 524 to 776 of the family's 1533-position model. The record is from RNAcentral.